This 251-nucleotide ribosomal RNA is filed under the name uncultured prokaryote. Its description in RNAcentral is "partial 16S ribosomal RNA". It matches the Rfam family "Bacterial small subunit ribosomal RNA", at positions 525 to 775 of the family's 1533-position model. The record is from RNAcentral.
ACGUAGGGUGCGAGCGUUAAUCGGAAUUACUGGGCGUAAAGCGCGCGCAGGCGGUCGGAUAAGGCGGGUGUGAAAGCCCUGGGCUUAACCUGGGAACUGCAUUCGAUACUGUCUGGCUAGAGUAUGGGAGAGGGAAGCGGAAUUUCCGGUGUAGCGGUGAAAUGCGUAGAUAUCGGAAGGAACAUCAGUGGCGAAGGCAGCUUCCUGGGCCAAUACUGACGCUCAGGUGCGAAAGCGUGGGGAUCAAACAG